RNAcentral lists this ribosomal RNA (253 nucleotides) under uncultured bacterium. RNAcentral describes it as "partial 16S ribosomal RNA". It matches the Rfam family "Bacterial small subunit ribosomal RNA", at positions 524 to 776 of the family's 1533-position model. The record is from RNAcentral.
GACGAAGGGGGCUAGCGUUGUUCGGAAUUACUGGGCGUAAAGCGCGUGUAGGCGGUUGCCAAAGUCGGGUGUGAAAGCCUUGAGCUUAACUCAAGAAAUGCACUCGAUACUUGGUGACUAGAGGACCGGAGAGGAUAGUGGAAUUCCCAGUGUAGUGGUGAAAUACGUAGAGAUUGGGAAGAACACCAGUGGCGAAGGCGGCUAUCUGGACGGUUUCUGACGCUAAGACGCGAAAGCGUGGGGAGCAAACAGG